GACACACUUGCCAUUUUGGGGACCUUUUUCACCAUCCUAUGGGGACUCCCUUUGCCCUUCUCCUGUGUAAGCUCCACUUUUUAACAAUUUCCAUGAAUGUCUCCUGCUGCGUUUAUGUCCUCAUUUUGGUAGAGCACUUUAUCCAACAACCUCCUGAAAGGGGGUGCAUGAGCCAGGUCUGCACUUCUGUUUGAAGCUCCUCAACAGUGGAAGUUGGGAGGGAGGGAUUUCUAGCCAGAAGAAAUAACAUGAACGAAGAAAUAAAACAACAGUGAUGAAAGCGUCAAAGGAAUCCUUCAAAAUGGCUUGAUGUGUUGGGAUUGAAAACCUGCCACUUGAGGUUGCAACCCAGGUGACCCUAAUUUCCUGCCAAGUUGAGUACAAGAUCUUCUUUUAGCAUUGGAAGUAUCAGUUUUUGGGACUUCCUACUAUAGGAUUUAUACCAGUGGCCCAGUUCUCAGUCCGCUGGACUUAAACGGAGAGUAACACCCUGCCCUGCUUCUCAGGCCUUCAGACUCAGACUAAAUCUUACCACUGAUUUCCUGGUUUUUCAGCUUGCAGAUGACGCGUCUAGGAUUUCUCAACCUCUAUAAUUGCGUAAGUGAAUUCCCA
This 612-nucleotide long non-coding RNA is filed under the name Homo sapiens (human). RNAcentral's name for it is "HSALNT0196874". The record is from RNAcentral. Lineage: Eukaryota; Metazoa; Chordata; Mammalia; Primates; Hominidae.